ACAUGCAAGUCGAGCGGAUGAUGGGAGCUUGCUCCUGGAUUCAGCGGCGGACGGGUGAGUAAUGCCUAGGAAUCUGCCUGGUAGUGGGGGACAACGUUUCGAAAGGAACGCUAAUACCGCAUACGUCCUACGGGAGAAAGCAGGGGACCUUCGGGCCUUGCGCUAUCAGAUGAGCCUAGGUCGGAUUAGCUAGUUGGUGGGGUAAAGGCCUACCAAGGCGACGAUCCGUAACUGGUCUGAGAGGAUGAUCAGUCACACUGGAACUGAGACACGGUCCAGACUCCUACGGGAGGCAGCAGUGGGGAAUAUUGGACAAUGGGCGAAAGCCUGAUCCAGCCAUGCCGCGUGUGUGAAGAAGGUCUUCGGAUUGUAAAGCACUUUAAGUUGGGAGGAAGGGCAGUAAGUUAAUACCUUGCUGUUUUGACGUUACCAACAGAAUAAGCACCGGCUAACUUCGUGCCAGCAGCCGCGGUAAUACGAAGGGUGCAAGCGUUAAUCGGAAUUACUGGGCGUAAAGCGCGCGUAGGUGGUUUGGUAAGAUGGAUGUGAAAUCCCCGGGCUCAACCUGGGAACUGCAUCCAUAACUGCCUGACUAGAGUACGGUAGAGGGUGGUGGAAUUUCCUGUGUAGCGGUGAAAUGCGUAGAUAUAGGAAGGAACACCAGUGGCGAAGGCGACCACCUGGACUGAUACUGACACUGAGGUGCGAAAGCGUGGGGAGCAAACAGGAUUAGAUACCCUGGUAGUCCACGCCGUAAACGAUGUCGACUAGCCGUUGGGAUCCUUGAGAUCUUAGUGGCGCAGCUAACGCGAUAAGUCGACCGCCUGGGGAGUACGGCCGCAAGGUUAAAACUCAAAUGAAUUGACGGGGGCCCGCACAAGCGGUGGAGCAUGUGGUUUAAUUUCGAAGCAACGCGAAGAACCUUACCUGGCCCUUGACAUGUCCCGGAAUCUUUGCAGAGAUGCGAGA
This 969-nucleotide ribosomal RNA is filed under the name Pseudomonas nitroreducens. RNAcentral's name for it is "bacterial SSU rRNA". It matches the Rfam family "Bacterial small subunit ribosomal RNA", at positions 53 to 1013 of the family's 1533-position model. The record is from RNAcentral. Lineage: Bacteria; Pseudomonadati; Pseudomonadota; Gammaproteobacteria; Pseudomonadales; Pseudomonadaceae.